UACGUAGGGGGCAAGCGUUGUCCGGAAUCAUUGGGCGUAAAGCGCGUGUAGGCGGCUUGGCAAGUCGGAUGUGAAAGCCCACGGCUCAACCGUGGAAGCGCAUCCGAAACGGCCUCGCUCGAGUCUCGGAGAGGAAGGUGGAAUGCUUGGUGUAGAGGUGAAAUUCGUAGAUAUCAAGCAGAACACCUGCGGCGAAGGCGGCCUUCUGGACGAUGACUGACGCUGAGACGCGAAAGCGUGGGGAGCAAACAGG
This 253-nucleotide ribosomal RNA is filed under the name uncultured bacterium. Its description in RNAcentral is "partial 16S ribosomal RNA". It matches the Rfam family "Bacterial small subunit ribosomal RNA", at positions 524 to 776 of the family's 1533-position model. The record is from RNAcentral.